UUUAUUCACCCAUGAGCCUCUUCGCUCCCAUGUCUUUUUACAGGGCUGGGAGAAUGAACUGAUAUCGUGGGAACCCAACGACUGGUGUGGGAUUGAGAGCGUAGCAGUUCCCAGAGACAUGCUGUGGAUACCAGACGUUAUGAUCUUAGAGGACAUUUCUGAUACAGGCAGUAUCACAUUGAGCCCCUACACAGAGGUGGCCCACUCUGGCAUGGCCUAUGUGACAGAAAGCCGCCGGUUGACCACCACCUGCAAGAUGAAUCUUUUUAAGUUCCCCUUUGACACCCAGAACUGCAGCAUUACCUUUAUUUCCUUUAUGCUUAAAGGUAUAAAGUUGGGGCCCUUCUCCAACAGCAUUAUCAUGAGCCAAUUUUCCGAGAAGGUCAUGGUUACAUUGGGGGAAUGGGACUUCCUGGGCAUUAGGUUGUCCAUGGAAAAGCUAAUCUACGACAACAACAUUGUUUGGGACAAGCUGGUCUACAAGGUAUGCAAAUCAGAGAGAGCAAGAACUUGA
RNAcentral lists this long non-coding RNA (514 nucleotides) under Salmo trutta (river trout). Its description in RNAcentral is "lncRNA (ENSSTUG00000001722.1)". Lineage: Eukaryota; Metazoa; Chordata; Actinopteri; Salmoniformes; Salmonidae. The record is from RNAcentral.